Molecule: ribosomal RNA, 472 nt
Filed under: uncultured bacterium
Lineage: Bacteria
Description: bacterial SSU rRNA
Rfam family: Bacterial small subunit ribosomal RNA
Source: RNAcentral
GGACAGCACUCCUACGGGAGGCAGCAGUGGGGAAUAUUGCACAAUGGGCGCAAGCCUGAUGCAGCCAUGCCGCGUGUAUGAAGAAGGCCUUCGGGUUGUAAAGUACUUUCAGCAGUGAGGAAGGUGGAUAUGUUAAUAGCAUAUUCAUUUGACGUUAGCUGCAGAAGAAGCACCGGCUAACUCCGUGCCAGCAGCCGCGGUAAUACGGAGGGUGCGAGCGUUAAUCGGAAUUACUGGGCGUAAAGCGCAUGCAGGUGGUUUGUUAAGUCAGAUGUGAAAGCCCGGGGCUCAACCUCGGAAUUGCAUUUGAAACUGGCAAACUAGAGUACUGUAGAGGGGGUAGAAUUUCAGGUGUAGCGGUGAAAUGCGUAGAGAUCUGAAGGAAUACCGGUGGCGAAGGCGGCCCCCUGGACAGAUACUGACACUCAGAUGCGAAAGCGUGGGGAGCAAACAGGAUUAGAUACCCUGGUAG